This 298-nucleotide signal recognition particle RNA is filed under the name Cebus imitator (Panamanian white-faced capuchin). RNAcentral's name for it is "Metazoan signal recognition particle RNA (ENSCCAG00000009121.1)". It matches the Rfam family "Metazoan signal recognition particle RNA". Rfam says of the family: The signal recognition particle (SRP) is a universally conserved ribonucleoprotein. It is involved in the co-translational targeting of proteins to membranes. Lineage: Eukaryota; Metazoa; Chordata; Mammalia; Primates; Cebidae. The record is from RNAcentral.
GCCAGCGCAGUGGCGCGUGUCUGUAGUCCCAGCUACUCGGGAGGCUGAGGUGGGAGGAUCGCUUGAGCCCAGGAGUUCUGGCCUGUAGUGCGCUAUGCCGAUUGGGUGUCCGCACUAAGUUCGACGUCAAUAUGGUGACCUCCCAGGAUCGGGAGACCACCAAGUUGCCUAAGGAGGGGUGAACCGGCCCAGGUCGGAAACGCAAUAGGUCAAAACUCCUGUGCUGAUCAGCAGUUGGAUGGUGCCUGUGAAUAACCACUGCACUCCAGCCUGGGCAACAUAGCGAAACCCUGUCUCU